CCUACGGGUGGCAGCAGUGAGGAAUAUUGGUCAAUGGGCGGAAGCCUGAACCAGCCAAGUAGCGUGCGGGAUGAAGGCCCUACGGGUCGUAAACCUCUUUUGUCAGGGAACAAAGGCGGGGACGCGUCCCCGGAUGAGUGUACCUGAAGAAAAAGCAUCGGCUAACUCCGUGCCAGCAGCCGCGGUAAUACGGAGGAUGCGAGCGUUAUCCGGAUUUAUUGGGUUUAAAGGGUGCGCAGGCGGUCUGUUAAGUCAGCGGUCAAAGCCCGGGGCUCAACCCCGGCCCGCCGUUGAAACUGGCAGUCUCGAGUUGGAGAGAAGUAUGCGGAAUGCGCGGUGUAGCGGUGAAAUGCAUAGAUAUCGCGCAGAACUCCGAUUGCGAAGGCAGCAUGCCGGCUCCACACUGACGCUGAGGCACGAAAGCGUGGGUAUCGAACAGGAUUAGAUACCCCAGUAGUC
Molecule: ribosomal RNA, 459 nt
Filed under: uncultured bacterium
Lineage: Bacteria
Description: partial 16S ribosomal RNA
Rfam family: Bacterial small subunit ribosomal RNA
Source: RNAcentral